UGACGAGUGGCGGACGGGUGAGUAAUGUCUGGGAAACUGCCUGAUGGAGGGGGAUAACUACUGGAAACGGUAGCUAAUACCGCAUAACGUCGCAAGACCAAAGAGGGGGACCUUCGGGCCUCUUGCCAUCGGAUGUGCCCAGAUGGGAUUAGCUAGUAGGUGGGGUAACGGCUCACCUAGGCGACGAUCCCUAGCUGGUCUGAGAGGAUGACCAGCCACACUGGAACUGAGACACGGUCCAGACUCCUACGGGAGGCAGCAGUGGGGAAUAUUGCACAAUGGGCGCAAGCCUGAUGCAGCCAUGCCGCGUGUAUGAAGAAGGCCUUCGGGUUGUAAAGUACUUUCAGCGGGGAGGAAGGCGAUAAGGUUAAUAACCUUGUCGAUUGACGUUACCCGCAGAAGAAGCACCGGCUAACUCCGUGCCAGCAGCCGCGGUAAUACGGAGGGUGCAAGCGUUAAUCGGAAUUACUGGGCGUAAAGCGCACGCAAGCGGUCUGUCAAGUCGGAUGUGAAAUCCCCGGGCUCAACCUGGGAA
This 535-nucleotide ribosomal RNA is filed under the name Enterobacter hormaechei. RNAcentral describes it as "bacterial SSU rRNA". It matches the Rfam family "Bacterial small subunit ribosomal RNA", at positions 89 to 620 of the family's 1533-position model. The record is from RNAcentral. Lineage: Bacteria; Pseudomonadati; Pseudomonadota; Gammaproteobacteria; Enterobacterales; Enterobacteriaceae.